This 253-nucleotide ribosomal RNA is filed under the name uncultured bacterium. RNAcentral describes it as "partial 16S ribosomal RNA". It matches the Rfam family "Bacterial small subunit ribosomal RNA", at positions 524 to 776 of the family's 1533-position model. The record is from RNAcentral.
UACGUAUGGUGCAAGCGUUAUCCGGAUUUACUGGGCGUAAAGGGAGCGCAGGCGGCGCGCCAAGUCUGAUGUGAAACCCCGGGGCUCAACCCCGGGCACGCAUUGGAAACUGGCGGGCUGGAGUGCCGGAGAGGUAAGCGGAAUUCCUAGUGUAGCGGUGAAAUGCGUAGAUAUUAGGAGGAACACCAGUGGCGAAGGCGGCUUACUGGACGGCAACUGACGCUGAGGCUCGAAAGCGUGGGGAGCAAAUAGG